Molecule: ribosomal RNA, 465 nt
Filed under: Vreelandella stevensii
Lineage: Bacteria; Pseudomonadati; Pseudomonadota; Gammaproteobacteria; Oceanospirillales; Halomonadaceae
Description: partial 16S ribosomal RNA
Rfam family: Bacterial small subunit ribosomal RNA
Source: RNAcentral
CCUACGGGGUGCAGCAGUGGGGAAUAUUGGACAAUGGGCGAAAGCCUGAUCCAGCCAUGCCGCGUGUGUGAAGAAGGCCUUCGGGUUGUAAAGCACUUUCAGUGGGGAAGAAAGCCUUGGGGCUAAUACCCUCGAGGAAGGACAUCACCCACAGAAGAAGCACCGGCUAACUCCGUGCCAGCAGCCGCGGUAAUACGGAGGGUGCGAGCGUUAAUCGGAAUUACUGGGCGUAAAGCGCGCGUAGGCGGUCUGAUAAGCCGGUUGUGAAAGCCCCGGGCUCAACCUGGGAACGGCAUCCGGAACUGUCAGGCUAGAGUGCAGGAGAGGAAGGUAGAAUUCCCGGUGUAGCAGUGAAAUGCGUAGAGAUCGGGAGGAAUACCAGUGGCGAAGGCGGCCUUCUGGACUGACACUGACGCUGAGGUGCGAAAGCGUGGGUAGCAAACAGGAUUACAUACCCCUGUAGUC